CUCAGGUGACUGCGGAGGAUCAUUACCAAUUUCAACGUCCAUUUAUGGACUUGAAAACCCCCACCCUUGUUUAUUCAACCUUUGUUGCCUCGGCGGGUUCGCCCGCCAGAGGACCCUUCUAAACUCUUGUUGUAAACGGCGUUUGUCUGAGCUACAAAGCAAUUGUUUAAAACUUUCAACAACGGAUCUCUUGGUUCUGGCAUCGAUGAAGAACGCAGCGAAAUGCGAUAAGUAGUGUGAAUUGCAGAAUUCAGUGAAUCAUCGAAUCUUUGAACGCACAUUGCGCCCUUUGGCAUCCCGAAGGGCAUGCCUGUUCGAGCGUCAUUAUCACCAUUCAAGCCUGGCUUGGUAUUGGGUGCCGUCCUGCCCUCUGCGGCGUGGACGCUCCCUAAAACUAUCGGCGGUGCAGCACCGGCUUCGAGCGUAGCAGACCUUCGCUUUCGGGGACCCGGUGAGGCAGCGGCCGCGACGCACAACCUUUUGGUUGACCUCGGAUCAGGUAGGGAUACCCGCUGAACUUAAGCAUAUCAAA
Molecule: ribosomal RNA, 532 nt
Filed under: Rhytidhysteron rufulum
Lineage: Eukaryota; Fungi; Ascomycota; Dothideomycetes; Hysteriales; Hysteriaceae
Description: eukaryotic LSU rRNA
Rfam family: 5.8S ribosomal RNA (bases 171-324)
Source: RNAcentral